This 67-nucleotide transfer RNA is filed under the name Euroleon coreanus. RNAcentral's name for it is "tRNA-Ser". It matches the Rfam family "tRNA". From Rfam's summary of the family: Transfer RNA (tRNA) molecules are approximately 80 nucleotides in length. Their secondary structure includes four short double-helical elements and three loops (D, anti-codon, and T loops). Further hydrogen bonds mediate the characteristic L-shaped molecular structure. tRNAs have two regions of fundamental functional importance: the anti-codon, which is responsible for specific mRNA codon recognition, and the 3' end, to which the tRNAs corresponding amino acid is attached (by aminoacyl-tRNA synthetases). tRNAs cope with the degeneracy of the genetic code in two manners: having more than one tRNA (with a specific anti-codon) for a particular amino acid; and 'wobble' base-pairing, i.e. permitting non-standard base-pairing at the 3rd anti-codon position. Lineage: Eukaryota; Metazoa; Arthropoda; Insecta; Neuroptera; Myrmeleontidae. The record is from RNAcentral.
AAUUAAUGAGCUUGAUAAAGCAUAUGCUUUGAAAGCAUAAGAUAAUAGUUUAUUCUAUUAUUAAUUU